This 1075-nucleotide long non-coding RNA is filed under the name Equus asinus (donkey). Its description in RNAcentral is "lncRNA (ENSEASG00005005078.2)". The record is from RNAcentral. Lineage: Eukaryota; Metazoa; Chordata; Mammalia; Perissodactyla; Equidae.
UUGAAGUGAAGUUCACAGAACGUAAAGUUAGCCACGUCAAAGCAAACGAUUCGGUAGCAUUUAGUACAUUCACGAUGCUGUGCAACCACCGCCACUAUCUAGUUCCAGAGCAUUCUCACUGCCCAGAAGGAAACCCCAUACCUAUUAAGCAGUUUCUCCCUGUUCCCCGCCCCCAGCCCCUGGCGACCACCAAUCUGCCUUCUGCAUCUGUGGAUUUGCCAAUUUUGGAUAUUUCUUAUCCUAAGCCAUUUUUAAAAGAGCAAGACGCAGACAUUUGGGGUCUAGUCCCCCGCGUGUAUCCAGCCAUGUGGGCUCGAGCACAGUACUGUAGUGCCCUGUGUCGGUUUCCCCAUCUGUAAAAUGGGUGUAAGAAGUCUCAUAAUAGGGUCGUCGUGGGGAUGGGGCGGGCAUCCACGCCAAGUGCUGAGUGUGGGGUCUGCCCUGGAAGGCGUGCUACAUUUUAGCUGCUGUUGUCACGGGCAUCAGACAUCAAGACGAUAUGGGACAAGGACAGCUGGGGGCCUGGAACGGCAGACCUGGUUCCCCACUGGGCACAGCUCAUGCGUAUCAUCCCAGGCAGGUCACAUAACUGUUUGGAUCUGCAACUGCUCUUUCCCACUUUGGUGACAUUGGGUCUCCAGUUUCCCAUCCGGAAUGGCACUAUGGAACGGCCUCACUGUGUUGGAGGGGGGUGGGGCCUGGCAUUGUGUUGGGGGGUGGGGGGAUGCUCAGGAAGGAGUAUUCUGCCCCCCAACAGGGAUGCAGUGGGGACCAGCGCAGCCUUGAGAGGAAAAGUUUGGAAGGGGUGACAGUGGGCAGGUGCCCAAGGUCACAAUGAUGGGGGAUUUGCAGGACUGAGGGCCAGGGCUGAGAGCAGGCAUGUGGGGCCCCAGCUCUUCCAGCGUGUCUCUUUGCAGCCGAGCUUUUGAACAAGGGGCUGGAUGCUUGUCGUCCUGGCCCCCCUUUGCAGCUGAUCCAUCAGCUGGGCUGUUACUGUCCGGAGCCGCCAGUGGCCAUCAACGCGUCAGGCCCCCCCCUCUGCAAGUCGCCCGGGUUUUAUGUUGUAAGAACACUG